GUCUAUGUAGCGCAAUAGAUAGCGCGUUGGAAUUCUAAUCCAAAGGUCAUGGAUUCGAAAUCCACCUGGGAUG
This is a non-coding RNA of Trichonephila clavipes, 73 nucleotides long. NCBI's taxonomy places the organism in Eukaryota, Metazoa, Arthropoda, Arachnida, Araneae, Nephilidae. The record is from the annotation of a GenBank genome assembly.